RNAcentral lists this long non-coding RNA (363 nucleotides) under Coffea arabica (coffee). RNAcentral describes it as "long non-coding RNA (CARA_LNC000596)". The record is from RNAcentral. Lineage: Eukaryota; Viridiplantae; Streptophyta; Magnoliopsida; Gentianales; Rubiaceae.
AGAAAAGUAGUUAACUACCUCUGGUUUCUUCACGUUUGUGGACUGGAAAGUUCAGCUCUCUCUCCCUCUCGAAUCCGUGGCUAACUGAGCUAGAGUUUCCUUGUUUUCUUGGUUGACGUUUACGGUUGAAGGGAUGAAGGAAGUGCCUAAUUCUCUUGAUGUUUCUUUUCUGUUUUAAUAGGUUAAGGAAGAAAGAAAGAUUAUGUUUCUUUUACUCUUCCUCUCGGUCAAAUGGAAGGCUACUGACACGUACUAGUUUCUCACAGUUUCUUGGCUGAAACAAUUUUCUGCUCCUACCCGAUGUUCUAACUACUGAGUCGGUGUUUCCUUGCUGCCUAGUUAAAGCUCAGAAAUUGCAGGGAA